UGCAGGGCGGAGCUACCAUGCAGUCGAGCGGUAACAUAAGUACUUGCUACUUUGGUGACGAGCGGCGGACGGGUGAGUAAUGCUUGGGAACAUGCCUUGAGGUGGGGGACAACAGUUGGAAACGACUGCUAAUACCGCAUAAUGUCUACGGACCAAAGGGGGCUUCGGCUCUCGCCUUUAGAUUGGCCCAAGUGGGAUUAGCUAGUUGGUGAGGUAAUGGCUCACCAAGGCGACGAUCCCUAGCUGGUUUGAGAGGAUGAUCAGCCACACUGGGACUGAGACACGGCCCACACUCCUACGGGAGGCAGCAGUGGGGAAUAUUGCACAAUGGGCGCAAGCCUGAUGCACCCAUGCCGCGUGUGUGAAGAAGGCCUUCGGGUUGUAAAGCACUUUCAGUCAGGAGGAAAGGUUAGUAGUUAAUACCUGCUAGCUGUGACGUUACUGACAGAAGAAGCACCGGCUAACUCCGUGCCAGCAGCCGCGGUAAUACGGAGGGUGCGAGCGUUAAUCGGAAUUACUGGGCGUAAAGCGUACGCAGGCGGUUUGUUAAGCGAGAUGUGAAAGCCCCGGGCUCAACCUGGGAACUGCAUUUCGAACUGGCAAACUAGAGUGUGAUAGAGGGUGGUAGAAUUUCAUGUGUAGCGGUGAAAUGCGUAGAGAUCUGAAGGAAUACCGAUGGCGAACGCAGCCACCUGUGUCAACACUGACGCUCAUGUACGAAAGCGUGGGGAGCAAACAGGAUUAUAUACCCUGGUACUCA
This 760-nucleotide ribosomal RNA is filed under the name Pseudoalteromonas sp. RNAcentral's name for it is "bacterial SSU rRNA". It matches the Rfam family "Bacterial small subunit ribosomal RNA", at positions 38 to 797 of the family's 1533-position model. The record is from RNAcentral. Lineage: Bacteria; Pseudomonadati; Pseudomonadota; Gammaproteobacteria; Alteromonadales; Pseudoalteromonadaceae.